This 314-nucleotide long non-coding RNA is filed under the name Malus domestica (apple). Its description in RNAcentral is "long non-coding RNA (MDOM_LNC001931)". The record is from RNAcentral. Lineage: Eukaryota; Viridiplantae; Streptophyta; Magnoliopsida; Rosales; Rosaceae.
CAUUUGUUAGUUGGUUUAUAGAAGCGAUAUCCAAAAGUUAUUUUAAGGAUAUCCUACAAGAUUGUUAUCAAACGAAUAUUGCUUAUUAGCACACAACCCCAAAUCUUUAACAUGCUUAAGAUUUGUCUUUUCUUUCCAACUACAUCUUAUGGAGUCAUGAAAAUAUUGGAAGAUCUUCUCAUCGACAAUCAUAUUGUUUUUAGAAGUAUAUAUCCUAUAUAUGGGUAAUAGAUAACAUUUAACGAACUAAAUCUUAUUCGAGUUCGUUCUUCUCCUAAUGGAGAAAUACAUUAUCUUAUGAUGCUAUUUUCCUU